UACGGGGGGGGCAAGCGUUGUUCGGAAUUACUGGGCGUAAAGGGCUCGUAGGUGGCCAACUAAGUCAGACGUGAAAUCCCUCGGCUUAACCGGGGAACUGCGUCUGAUACUGGAUGGCUUGAGAUUGGGAGAGGGAUGCGGAAUUCCAGGUGUAGCGGUGAAAUGCGUAGAUAUCUGGAGGAACACCGAUGGCGAAGGCAGGUCUCUGGGCAUUAACUGACGCUGAGGAGCGAAAGCGUGGGGAGCAAACAGG
Molecule: ribosomal RNA, 253 nt
Filed under: uncultured bacterium
Lineage: Bacteria
Description: partial 16S ribosomal RNA
Rfam family: Bacterial small subunit ribosomal RNA
Source: RNAcentral